This 352-nucleotide ribosomal RNA is filed under the name uncultured bacterium. RNAcentral describes it as "bacterial SSU rRNA". It matches the Rfam family "Bacterial small subunit ribosomal RNA", at positions 8 to 350 of the family's 1533-position model. The record is from RNAcentral.
AGAGUUUGAUCAUGGCUCAGGAUGAACGCUAGCUACAGGCUUAACACAUGCAAGUCGAGGGGAAACGACAUCGAAAGCUUGCUUUUGAUGGGCGUCGACCGGCGCACGGGUGAGUAACGCGUAUCCAACCUGCCCAUCACUUGGGGAUAACCUUGCGAAAGUAAGACUAAUACCCAAUGACGUCUCUAGAAGACAUCUGAAAGAGAUUAAAGAUUUAUCGGUGAUGGAUGGGGAUGCGUCUGAUUAGCUUGUUGGCGGGGUAACGGCCACAAGGCGACGAUCAGUAGGGGUUCUGGAGAGGAAGGUCCCCCANAUUGGAACUGAGACACGGUCCAAACUCCUACGGGAGGCA